Molecule: long non-coding RNA, 4149 nt
Filed under: Ursus thibetanus thibetanus
Lineage: Eukaryota; Metazoa; Chordata; Mammalia; Carnivora; Ursidae
Description: lncRNA (ENSUTTG00000008401.1)
Source: RNAcentral
AUGGAAAACUGGGCAGACCCAGUGUCAGGAGGAUGGGCUUCUGACACAACCAAGAAGGAGGGAAGAGAGAGGAACUCCAGCAUAGUUCAGGCUCUUUCUCCUCGAGGCUUGUCUUCAAACAGGUUUUCGCAGAUACCAGUGUGGGAGAGGAACACCCAGGGUUCUAGGCUGGAACCAACAAGCAUCACCAGGUUCCUUGGGCCCUGUCGUCCACUGAGGCAGCCCGGUGAGGAUCUCAGCUUUUCAGGAGGUAAAAUAAAAAGAGGGCUGACAGGGGCGAAUUCGGUGCUCUGGGGGUCUGAUUAAGGGUGGGAUUACAUGCUUUGGGAACAACUGUGGAGGAGGUGGAGUCUUGAAAGAUGGGUAUUUUGGGGCAUCUGGGUGACUCAGUCAGUUAACUGUCUGCCUUUGGCUCAGGUCAUGAUCCCAGGGUCCUGGGAUCGAGUCCCCCACAUCGGGCUCCCUGCUCAGCGGGGAGCCUGCUUCUCCCUCUCCCUCUGCUUCUCCUCCUGCUUGUGUUCUCUCUCUGUGUCAAAUAAAUAAAUAAAAUCUUUGAAAAAUAUUAAAAGAAAGAUGGGUAUUUCAAAAGGAGGGUGGUGAGUGGGGAACAGGGAGCGGGUCUUGUUUGGCUGGAACUGAGUACAGGCAGGAGCAGUGGCACCGGAAACCAAAAAAGAAUUUCUGCCUGCAAGGCACUUUGUAGUUUACAAAUCUCACCCACUCCCCACCUCAUCAGAUCCUCAAUACAACCCUGUGAGGUACAGGGCCAUUGAUGGUGAACUCAUUUCAUAGAAAAAUAAAACAAAAAGCAAAACGAAACUGGGAUUCAGAGUGGUUAGGUGACCUAUGCUAUGCCACAAAUAUGUGGCCAAGCUGGCAUUCUGACCCUGGUUUCUGUCUCCUGGCCUUCUUUUCCCUGACCAGGGUCAUACUGGGGGACCUGGGCAAUACUACAGUGUAAGUUUGAACUGAAGCAAUGGGGAGCCACAGAAAGGAUUUUAGAAGAGCUGUGGUCGGGGCACCUGGGUGGCGGUUGAGUGUCCGACUCUUGGUUUCACUCGGGUCAUGGUCUCAGGGUCAUGGGAUUGAGCCCUGCGUUGGGCUCCAUGCUUAGCAGAGAGUCUGCUUGGGAUUCUCUCCCUCUCCCUCUGCCCCUUCCCCUUCCCCUGCUCUCUCUCUCUCAUUCACUCUCUAAAAUAAAUAAAUAAAUCUUUAAAAAAUAAAUAAGAGCUGUGGUUAUCACAGGUGUGCUGGGCCUUGGGCACAUGUGCUGGUUGAGGGAGGCUGAGCACUGCAGUGGGGCUAUGUCGCUCUGAAAGAGAAAUCGGGGUGCUCUACAGGUCAUGCGGACAGGGCAGGGAGGGAGAGCACAGCUGAUGUGGGCCCUGCAGGGAAGAAUGGCGUUCAUUCAUUAAUUAAUUCAUUCAUUCUUCCAAUCUGUCUUUAGUAAGUACCUUCCCUGUGCUAAGUGUCAUGCUAGGCAUUGGGGAUGUAAUGGUGAACUUGACCACAGGGUCCCAGCCCUCACAGCACUUCAGGGGCUAGCAGAUCAUAAGGAACAAAUGAACAAGUACAAGAACUUCCAGUUGUGGUUUAACAUAGGAUCUACAGAAACAUGAGGACAUAUACCCAGUGUCAUGUGGUCCUCAGGGUGGCUUCUCUUGACUGCCCUGGCAAUCCCUGCCCCUGAGUGUAAUGCAGACUGUGUUCGGGGUCCUGUGGGGGUUCAGGGAAGGGAGGCAUCCUUCUUCCUGCUCAGAGUGAUCUGAGGAAGGCUUCAUGGAAGAAGAUGCAUUGAGGUUGGGCAUUCAUUCAACAAAUAUGUAAUGAGCACCUACUGAAUACCAGCUUCUGUUUUAUUUUAUUAUUUUUUUUUAAGAUUCUAUUUUUAAGUACUCUCUGUACCCAACAUAGGGCUCAACUCACAACCCUGAGAUCAAGAGUCGCAUAGGGACAAUCAUUGAACAAAAUGAAACAGACCAUGUUGUACCUUCUCAGAAUUACUGAAAAGAGGAUAGAUAAUAAACAAGAGAGAUAAGAAAAAUAUUAUUUCAGGGGGUGAUGAAUGCUCUGGAGACAAAUAAAUUGUGGAAGGGGAAUAGUGAGUGGAGGGAUGGAUACUACAUUCUUUGGUAGGCGGUUAGGAAAGGCUGCAUUGAGAAGAUAACAUUUGACUAAAGAUCUGAAAGAUGUGAGAGAGGGAGCCAUGAACUAUAUAUGGGAUGGGUGUUUCAGGUAAAGGGGACUGCAGUACAAAGGCCCUGAGGCAGGAUCUUUACUGGAUGUUUUCAGAGACAGCAAAGGGUUGAGUUCUUUAAAAGAAAAGGAUGUCAGCAGAGGGCAUUUGUGUGGCCUGUGGGGAGUUGUUGGUAGGUGCCCACUUUGAUAAUUCUCUCUUAUGCAGAGAGCUCCAUUAGAGGUGAGGUGGGGAAUAUGGCUAGGACAAAUGUGGCAGAGAACAGGGAGCUCAUUGGGUGUUCAGGGCAGGAAAUGGCCUGAGGAUGGUGGCUGACUAGCAGGGUGGGCUGGAGGAGAGAUGGGUGUAGGAUGCUAGCGACCUGCUGGAAGGAGCACUGCUGGAAGGAGCAGUGAAGUAAAGAGAAGCUGUAGGCAAGAAACCUCAGUGGGGAGGCUGGCCAGCACUUAGACAAGGGUGAGAGAGAAGCUAGAUAUAACUGUCAGGUGUUGUUGAGCUGUGUGCUUACACCAGGGAGAUCUGUGAACAGAACUGGGAGAAUCCUAGAGAGCUGGCCUCUUUCGUGACACUUACUAUGUUCUGCCUUGUGUUUUCUUUUCCUCCUGCUUUUCUUACCCUCACCGCAAGGGCAAGGAGUGUGUCUUACUCAUCUUGGCAUCACACACUGUCCUAUAUGCUGUAGGGCAUAUAACAGGUGCUCAGGCAGUACUUACACUGAGUUAUUUUGGAUCAGUUGGGCCUGAGAAACAGACGUGCCGCCUUUGAUCCCAUUCGUUCUAGAAUCAUCCCUUCCCUCCACAUGCUGGUUCAGCUCUUCCAGUCCUCAGUCAGGCAGAUGCUAUUCCCGGGCUUCUCAUUAGCAAGACAACAUAUGCUUGUCAAAUCGUCAUGUUAGCAAGUCAUGAAAGCCUGAACAUAGUCAGAGGCUGUGUCAAGUUCAGAGUUAGCUAGGCAUUUCUCUGGGGCACACAGAAGGAAGUUUCUCUAGAGGCCAGAGAAGUAACCACUAGUAACCAAUUAAUCAUUGCAAACUGUCACCUGCCUCCUUUAUAUCUCCUGAGGCAGUUACUAUAUGAUCCUCACUAAAUACUUCAGGCAUCAAUAAAUGCCUGUGGGGAGGGGGAGAGCAAGUGAGCUGCGCUCAAAAUUAAACAUUCACCCAAACAUUUAUUGAGCACGUUCUACGAUGUGUGGACACAGGCCUUACAUGUACCCUAUUUUCAGAGGUCAGCUUCAAGGUUAUAUUUUCCCAGAAGCCUCUGGACACCCCUCAUUUGGAUUAGGGCUGUCACAGCACCCGGAACUUACUUUAGCCUAUCAUUUAUAAAAUGGCAUUUUAAAGGCCUGUUUUCUGGUCUGCGUGUUCUUCUAAACUGGAAGCUCUUUGAAGGCAAAAACCCAGAUUGUGUCCUCAGCGUUGACCCCAUAGCCUUGUACAACACAGGCACCACCCAGUUAACGAUUGCGGAAUUAAAUCACACAGUGCUGUAGAGUGCCCAGUGGAACCCGAGGAUAUCAGGGGAACGCUUCUCUGAGUUGGAUCUGGAUGUCAGAAGAGUAAGUGGUCAGUUCACCAGGUAAAGCGAUCGGAGAAUUCCAGCUAGGGAACAGGCGUGUGCAAAGUUCGGAAGGCAUACUGGAGAAAGGUGUGAAAUUCUGUGGUUACAGCACGGCAGUAUUACCUGGAAAGCAAGGGCGCUGGAGACGAGAGGCAGCAGAACCCCGCACCCGUUAGGGUCAAGUGCAUAAAACAUAGGUAAAGGCCGCAACCACUGCCAGAGGACAAAGGUGCCAACCUUCAAACCCCGAGAACCAGAGACCCCACUGGGAGCGCCUCGCACCUCGCCUUGUCCGCAGCACGUGCCGCCCGCCCGCCGCGCACCCCGGCCAGCUUGCGGCCGAGGGGAGUCCCGGGGCGCCCAGGGAGGGCCGCCCGGGGCGGGGCGCGCAGG